This 25-nucleotide microRNA is filed under the name Canis lupus familiaris (dog). Its description in RNAcentral is "cfa-miR-8855". Lineage: Eukaryota; Metazoa; Chordata; Mammalia; Carnivora; Canidae. The record is from miRBase by way of RNAcentral.
CUUAGGGUUCUGUGUUUCCUGUGGC